GACGAACGCUGGCGGCGUGCCUAAUACAUGCAAGUUGAGCGCUGAAGGUUUGUACUUGUACCGACUGGAUGAGCAGCGAACGGGUGAGUAACGCGUGGGGAAUCUGCCUUUUAGCGGGGUACAACAUUUGGAAACGAAUGCUAAUACCGCAUAAAAACUUUAAACACAAGUUUUAAGUUUGAAAUAUGCAAUUGCAUCACUCAAAGAUGAUCCCGCGUUGUAUUAGCUAGUUGGUGAGGUAAAGGCUCACCAAGGCGAUGAUACAUAGGCGACCUGGGAGGGAGAUCGGCCAAAAUGGGAAUGAGAAAAGGCACAAAAGGAUACGGGAGGCAGCAGGAGGGAAACAGCGGCAAUGGAGGAAAGACAGAACGAGCAACGCCGAGUGAGUGAAGAAGGAUUUCGGAUCGGAAAACUCUGUUGGUAGAGAAGAAAGUUGGUGAGAGUGGAAAGAUCAUCAAGUGACGGUAACUACCCAGAAAGGGACGGCUAACUACGUG
This 497-nucleotide ribosomal RNA is filed under the name uncultured bacterium. Its description in RNAcentral is "partial 16S ribosomal RNA". It matches the Rfam family "Bacterial small subunit ribosomal RNA", at positions 28 to 507 of the family's 1533-position model. The record is from RNAcentral.